Dendronephthya gigantea is the source of this 763-nucleotide long non-coding RNA. RefSeq lists it as uncharacterized. The transcript is spliced from 4 exons. The record is from RefSeq and is a predicted model, not a curated record. NCBI's taxonomy places the organism in Eukaryota, Metazoa, Cnidaria, Anthozoa, Malacalcyonacea, Nephtheidae.
UUUACGAUAAAACUUGAUAAUUUACUCAAACAUUGAGUAAACUGAUUAUUUGCAAUUACAUUUUACUCAAGGUCUGAGUAAAAUGAAUGCUUCAGUUUAACGGUUUUACUCAAGUAUUGAGUAAAAUUACUCAACAUGAUCAUUUGCUGGUAAUUUUACACACUUCACGAGUAAAAGAGUAAAGUGAAUAAUUUGCGUAGUGGAAGCACUGCGAAUGUAUGAAUUUUAGUCUUUGGCAACUGAUAAGUCGCAGAGUCUGUUGUGCGUUAGAAUCUGUUGAAUAAUCUGCGCUGGACGUUAAAAGCCAAAAAGAUGGAAAAAUCAAUUGACGGGUUAAAAGAGUAGUUGGUGGAAAUGGGUUUUGAGGAUUAUAUUGUGCGCAAUUUGAAGGGGCCCUGGAAAAAGUGAUUUCAACAAAAGGGAAUGAAAUUUUUGAAAAUGCUGGAAGAGAGUGCUGGAAAUGGCAUUCAGGAAUCAGGAAAUUGGAAUGAGUUGAACGGACUGAAGUCGCAUUGUCUACCUUCGUACCAUUUAUCAAUGAAAAUGAAGAUAUUGAGAAGAUGAUUAAGAAAAGCUAUAAACACUAUGACCGCAUGACCCUAACAUGCAUAAUGAUAAAUAUAUACGCAUGAUUCUUAAACGUACAUUACCGUAUUUUAUAAAUUAUAAAUUUAUGCAAUAUAAAAUUGUUUCACUCGUGGUUGCGUGUAAUUUCUUUACUUAAAUCCGAAUUUUUUCCUAAUCUGUUUGGUCGACUCACUUU